GUAGCAGUCUAUAGCGGCAGGCUUAACACAUUGCAAGUCGAAGGGGUAGACGGGGUGCUUGCAUCCGCCGACGACCGGCGACACGGGUGGAGUAACGCGUGAUGACAAUCUGCCUUGUACUGAGGGAUGAGCCCAGAGAAAUUUGGAUUAAUACCUCAUAGUAUAUGGACCCUCUCAUGAGGAUCAUAUUAAAGGUUACGGUACAAGAUGAGUAUGCGUUCUAUUAGCUAGAUGGUAAGGUAACGGCUUACCAUGGCUACGAUAGAUAGGGGCCCUGAGAGGGGGAUCCCCCACACUGGUACUGAGACACGGACCAGACUCCUACGGGAGGCAGCAGUGAGGAAUAUUGGACAAUGGGCGAGAGCCUGAUCCAGCCAUGCCGCGUGCAGGAUGACGGCCCUAUGGGUUGUAAACUGCUUUUAUACAGGAAGAAACACCCCGACGUGUCGGGACUUGACGGUACUGUAAGAAUAAGGAUCGGCUAACUCCGUGCCAGCAGCCGCGGUAAUACGGAGGAUCCAAGCGUUAUCCGGAAUCAUUGGGUUUAAAGGGUCCGUAGGUGGACAAUUAAGUCAGAGGUGAAAUCCUGCAGCUCAACUGUAGAAUAGCCUCUGAUACUGGUUGUCUUGAGUUAUUAUGAAGUAGUUAGAAUAUGUAGUGUAGCGGUGAAAUGCAUAGAUAUUACAUAGAAUACCCAUUGGCGAAGGCAGAUUACUAUUAUUGAACUGACACUGAUGGACGAAAGCGUGGGGAGCGAACAGGAAUUAGAUACCCCUGGUAAGUCCACGCCCGUUAAACGAAUGGGUUACCUAAGUUUGUUUCGGA
Molecule: ribosomal RNA, 825 nt
Filed under: Bizionia sp. D58-E09
Lineage: Bacteria; Pseudomonadati; Bacteroidota; Flavobacteriia; Flavobacteriales; Flavobacteriaceae
Description: bacterial SSU rRNA
Rfam family: Bacterial small subunit ribosomal RNA
Source: RNAcentral